Molecule: long non-coding RNA, 2208 nt
Organism: Cygnus atratus (black swan)
Lineage: Eukaryota; Metazoa; Chordata; Aves; Anseriformes; Anatidae
Exons: 6
Source: RefSeq, a predicted model, not a curated record
AGCCGGGGCGCGGUACCGCGCGGGUCGGGCUGGGCUGGGCUGGGCUGGGCUGGGGCCUCCCCGCCUCGCUAGGCCCGGCCCGGCCCGGCCCGGCCAUGGGGAGCCGGGCUUCGGGCCUCGGCCCCGCUGUUCGGCCGGGAGCGCGCAGGCCGCCGAGAGAAGGCGUCGCCCGGUGCGUGGUGCCAGGAGGGGCGCCGGGGGGUGAAGCCUCAGAGCCCGUACGGCGGUUUGGUCCAGGACUACACGCACUGUGUGAAAGAAAAACAAAGUGCUGCACCAGCUUUCAGGAAGCAGGUCUCUCAAUAGCGGUGCUUCUAAAAUAGUGUGUCACGAUCUCUGGGAGCUUUCUGCAGCUGAAAUGGUCCCCAUCUUAUGGACUCGAGAAAUCACUGUUUACCGGAUGAAUAAUGAAAAGCAGUAUGAGCACAUGCAAAUGGAGAUAACUUUUGGAUGAAACCACAGUGAAAGAUGUGUUGCAGGAACACACGUCGUUGACAUCUGGCUUGGGGGAAUAAAGUAGUCUGAAGUAAAGCCUCCCAAGUUGCUGUCAUGGGUCAUGGAAGUGAUCACAGGAUACACAGUAAAGGCUGGAAGCUUUAUCAGUACGAAAGCUGAGAAGCUGAGACUCUAACAUUAUCUUCCAAGAGAGCUGAGAUUUGGAGAGCAUUAAAGAUGAAGCAGGAAAAGCACAAUCUGGUGAUUUCUAAGGAAGAAGUGAUGCUUUUGAUCAACUGCUAUAUGUCGAACGAUCGAUGACAGUAAGUACUAUAGAAAUGUGGGAAACGUGGUGCCCUGUGUACUUUGCAACUGCAAUAAUAAAUUCUGCUCAUUGGUCGUGUUUUGUGAAAAAUUCUGUAAAACAUUGCAUCAGAUCUUUUCCUCAUAAUAUUUCCCAGUUAAGGAUUUGUUUUCAAGCAACGUUAGCUAAAAACAAGUCUCGUUCAAAACAGUCAUUGUACUUCAGUUUGUUGGAGUGUCAGCCUGUAUCUCUGACACAGAGUGAGCUCUGCAGGAAGUCAGGGAAACAAUUAAACCCCAAAGCCACAUGUAAUUUUGCUCAUUUUAUUUUCAUAAAAGUAUCUAUUACUAGCACCAGACUAGUUUUUACUGACUUGAGACCAAAUAAUUAUCCUCUAAAGAAUUUCUAAACCAUGCAUUGUAGAUUUAGGUGGAUGAAGUGUUCACCUGCUCUCCAGGGGCACUUUGCGGUUGCUGUUAACUUCAGCAAGAGUGAAGUCAGACCUAAAGAUGCUUAUAAUUGUACUGCGGAGAGGAGGAUACUGCACCAAGCUACAGGGCCAUGGAAGUUUCCCAUUUUCCUUUCUGUAAAAAGAGCCCAUAUCAGAAGAGGACGUGAUGGUGUAAAGGAGCAUUGUAGUUUCUAGAACCCUAUGACAAAACUGCAAAAAUCGUGUAAUGUGAGUUAAUCAAAACAAAACGCGAUUGAAGACCAUGUCCAAUCUGAGUUUAUGUAACCGAGAAAUUGUUUCACAGAAUGUAAGAUGGUAGCAAAGAGUACACAGUGCUCUUUUUUUGUAGUAUCAAGAGAGCUGACUCAGCUUUUAGUUUCUUUUCAAGGGAUUAAAAAUAACUCUUACAAUACACAAGUGUUGAUCUAUUAUUCAUAGCUGAAUUUUUUGUUGCAUUACUAGACAAAAUCUCUAGGGGUGAUACUUUUUUUGUUAUACAUUCCUGAUUGCUGCAUUACAUUUCAGAAAAGCACUAAUGCUGUUUUCGUUGGGCUUUUGUUUCUGACUGUGUGAUCACUGACAGUCAUAAUAUGAAACAAAAUGUUAAUCAAAGUAGCCUGGAUGGAUAACUGAUCAGUGACACUGUGAGUUUGACGCAGAUGAAUGUGCACUUUUAAGUUGACUGAAUGGGGGCUUGUGAGAAGAAAGAUUGUUGAAACCUAAUACAUACCUCAGCACAAAGCUGAAGGUAGGCUCUGUGUUUGCUUGUGUGCCUCUGAAGUAUCUUCCUUAAGCUGCAUUUACAUAUGCUUUACAAACAACAAGUAUGUGAUAUACUUCAUUAUUUCAGUCCCCCAGCAAAUAAUUCCUGGCAUGUAUAUUCAACAAAGAACAUCUUAUUUUUCUGUGCUGGCAUUUAUACGUAUUUUUGCACGUGAAAACGAAGCCUUUUAAUAGAAGGUCCUUUGACGCCUAACUAAUGUCUAUUGCAAAUGUGAGUUGGUACAAACAGUUAAGG